Molecule: long non-coding RNA, 438 nt
Organism: Lycium ferocissimum
Lineage: Eukaryota; Viridiplantae; Streptophyta; Magnoliopsida; Solanales; Solanaceae
Exons: 2
Source: RefSeq, a predicted model, not a curated record
CAAAUACAGAGCAAAGGGACCUCGAUGUAUCUCUAGACAAUCUUAAUGCUACCAUCAUAUCUUCAAAUUUCUGGCCUCCUAUUCAGGAUGAGGCAGUCAACUUACCAGAGCCUGUGGAGAAGCUCCUAACUGAUUAUGCUAAGAGGUAUACUGAAAUCAAGACACCACGUAAGCUAAUGUGGAAGAAAAAUCUGGGCAGUGUAAAGGUCAGUCACUGUACAGUGUACUUGGGAAUUGUGUGUCUUCGGAAUAGUCUACAUAACCAGUUAAUUUAAAAUCUCUAGAUCCGAGCUCUCUGUUCUCUACAUCCUUUGAUAUACCCAAAUUACUGAAUGUGUUGUUACUGCCAUUUUGUUGUAGUUGGAGCCCCAAUUUGAAGAUAGAGCAAUGCAAUUCAAUGUAACUCCUUUACAUGCUUCAAUUAUUAUGCAGUUUCAA